CAACGCACUCAGCAUACUUGAAUACUUCGUGUCUGUUACUUGUGUUGAAAUGCAAUUGAACCUUCAAAACCAUUAGAGUUUUGUGCUGGUUUAGUUGUUUUAACCUUUAGGUUUGUGAUUGACGGUUACAGGGUAGUUUCUUUUAUGCUUAAUUGAAUAUUUCGUUUAAACAGUGGAGGGGGAUGCCUGGAACUUAACUGCUAAUGUGUGUCCAUUUUCAAAAGGGAGAAGUAGUAUCUAAUGAGUUAAUCAUUAAGGAGUAUGCACAGGGCCGGCCAUUUCAGGACAUGCAAGAGUUUCUGUGGAGCUGCUCCAGACAGGAAGGAGUGACUUGACAUCAAGCAUUUAAACUUUUUGAUUUAUGUUUCGAUUGGUGACAUUGAAAGGUAUAAAUUAUUUACAAAUAAGUUUGAGUAACCAGUUUCAUCUGUAAACAACCAGAUAUUUCAUCUAGGGACAGUUGUCUCUCAUUCUUUGAUAACUUUAAAAAGAACUCAAAGCAGGGCGUUUGCUGUAGGAAUGAAGGACUGACAGUUAAAGAGACGACGGGUCUCUAUUUCCCGGCUAUCUCCUAUGUUAGAAUCAGCUAAAGCUGCCAGGGACGUGCUGGUGAUCUCCUUUAAGUCAAUAAAUGAAAAGUUUUGUGGGGCUUUUUUAAUGGGGACAUUGAGUGAGACUUAUGAUUUAUAAUAUGCAGCAGGAAGAAGUUUCACUAAGAUUUUGAAGCUGGCAAGUGAUCCAGAUGUUGCCAAACUGCCUCAAUUUAUUUUUAUCUUAUUCUUACUUUAAGAGGUAAGAUUCUUUCCCACCCUAAUUCCUAUCUCCCACCCCUCUGCUUUUCACCACUACACUUUUGCAAGAGUCAUCCUUUGGGGAAAAAAAAUUGAGAGCCACACCCUUCGCUCCACCUGCCGACCCUGGAAAUCAAACGAAGUUCUACAAAGGACGUCCAUCUGGAAGGAGACGUCUCAGUUAUCCGUUUUACUUUAUUCCCCGCCAUUGGGCGGGGCAGGACUGGGCUUCCUUCCAGUCACCACGUCUUUCUCCACCUGCAGGUACUCCAGAGCGAUCCCCCUUCGUUGACUCCGAGGGGAUGCAGCAGCAAUUCAUGUUUUGAAGUGAUUUAAACGGUUCAAAACGUGAGGCGCUGCUAUACCCCCUCGCGGGGAAGUUGGAAGGUGGGGUUCUGCUGGACGUGUGCUCCUGCGAGGCGCCCGCUCCCAAGGCCAGCUCAGGAGCAGGAGGCCCGGUGGCACCCGGCGCCCAGCCCUCCGGGAGGACCACGCUCGCGCCAUCCGUCGCCCGCAGGACACAGGUGAGAGCCCCGCCGGUCGGGGCCGCGAGGGGCGGAGGGCGGGGAGCGAGUGAUCCCGACUGGAGGGCAUUGCCUUCCCCAAGCGAAAGGGCCCUUUCCCCGGCCCCCAGGAGGCAUCGAGAUUGGGGGCGUCCCCACAGCCCCACAGCCCUCGGACGCGUGGUGCCCUUUUCUGACUUAAAACAUUCGUCUUGCACCAGUAUUCACACGAUCGAAGUUUCAGUGUGCCUAGCUUUUCCUCCAAGGACAAAAAUGUGAAUAAAGCAAUAUUUUAGCCAAACAUUUCUGUGUCAAUUAAGAAGAUGGCAAUUCGUUCCAGACUAUAAAUUCUCUUUAACAACUCUCUAAGGAAUUCUUUAAAAUUGUUUUUCAACGUUGCUAAAUGUGCAUCAUAAUGUGUGGGAGACUUUGUAAAGCGAAUCCAUUUAGAGUCAGCUGAUUAACUGCCCCAGUGUUACCACCUUCCAGGAGGCACCUUCCCAUUGUUUGCUCCUUUUUUCCCAGCACACGUUAUUUGUUAGUGAGGAAGCUGCGUGCACAAGGCAUUGUAUUCAGUUUAUUACACAGACGUGGCCCUUAAACUACGAAAAGCUUCGUCUACCUCUAAAUUUACAUUCGACAUUUCUAUAAGUUGUGGGACAAGGUAUACAGGUUGCUUUCAUAAACUAGAAUUGAACAUAAUUUUUUAAAAAAUUUUAAUCACAGGAAUAUUUUUUGAAGGCCUCUAGCAUCUCCAGUUAGCAGUACUGACAUUUUUUUCCAACAAAGGAACACUAUAUCAACACUCUUGGCCCGGAUCUGAACACAGAAGACUCCUGUUUCAAGAAAAUACAAUCAUCUCUCAAAGUCUGCAUUUUUAACUCACUAGGUAUUGAAAACCACCCAAGUGUCCCACAACAUGGGGUAAAACAGAAUCAAUCACUCAGUGUAAUAUUAUACAUCCUUUAAAAAUGUUAUUGGGGAAUGUUUUAUGAUCUGUAAGUCGAAAUAACCCUCUCCGGGCAUUUCUUUCUCCCUGCUGCUCCCCCAUACCCGCGCUUCUUUGUUCCAAUUGGCAUAUAAAGCUGUUUUUCCCUCCAAACAAGUCAGUCACGAUGGGAACGUCAAUUGAUUUGAACAGAUGUGUGUCAAUGUUACUUGGAAAACUAGAUGCCAGUAACCAGGGCCACAAAGAAAGGCAGUGGUUGCAACACUAUAAAAACGUAUGCGUGCAUACAGACAAGGACUAAAGUGGAACCCCAAGCAGGAAAAGAGUUGAAUACACUCCAGUGCUGGGAGACUGAAUGAUUGUAUGCUGCUUUUGAUUUCCAUUAAUACGGGCAACUGUCCAAUUAAAAAGACCUAAUAAGGACUCUGCAGUGCAAAUUAUUUUGCUGAUUGUUUUAAAACACCAUACCUAUCAAAGCAUCGAGGCCGACGGGGCAGCAGGGGACUGGGUUUGUUCCCCCAUCCAGCACUCUAGAGCUCAGGGCAACACUGGGAGAAAAAGUGAUCCUACACAGGUGGGAGUUCACUUCUAGGCAGGUUUCCUGAGAGACGGUGCAAGAUGAAAAUAAAAAUAGGUUCAAGAAGCAUUUUGGGGGAGACCAAUGAGUUUUUUGAUAGGAAUUAUUGAUAAGAAUCAAAGACUUGAGUUGGGG
Molecule: long non-coding RNA, 2955 nt
Filed under: Equus caballus (horse)
Lineage: Eukaryota; Metazoa; Chordata; Mammalia; Perissodactyla; Equidae
Description: lncRNA (ENSECAG00000035391.2)
Rfam family: mir-322 microRNA precursor family (bases 1087-1170)
Source: RNAcentral